GUUAAAAAUCUUUUUAUCUACUGUAUUGACUUUUAUGAACCUUGAAUUACCAUGUGUGUUGACUCUUUCAGGUUGCUGUUCAAUAUCUUUACUUCUUGGUUUUUGAUUCAUUGCUUCAAAAUCUGGAUAUUUGCCUGAAGCUUUUGUUCUUGUUCUUUAAUAUUUGUUAUUGCGUAUUAGUUGUGGUGUCUGGUAGGAAGCUUUGGUUUUUUCUUAUUCUGCCUUGCAGAUACUGAAAUUUAUUUUAUUUUUUUAUUUUUAUCUUCUUUGCAGUGUGCCUUUAAAUAUUCUUAUUGUUUCCAAAUUAUUCCAUAUGUUUGUUGGUGGUGUUCUUAUUAGACCUUUUCUGACCUUCAACCAAUCCAUUGUAUCCGGUUCUGCAAGCUCUUUGUGAUAUGAAAAUCCUGCAAGUAGAUAUAGAUGAAAUUACAUGCUUAAAUUCUUCCAAACAAAAAAAUUGCAUGCUUAAAUUGAUUAAACUUGGUGAAGAAGUGAUUAUUAUUCAUUAUCUUUAAAUAGUUCGCUUUGUUUGCUAAAAUAAAUGUUCAUGUCUAGAUGAACACUGUUGCUGUAAUUGUCACCCUUUGUGCCUUGUCCAAGCUAUUUGUUGCUGAAAAGAUCCCCCACUCCACUGUUCCAGCGUACGUCAAUUAAGAAUGAGAAUGCUGCAAGGCUGAGUUUUGAAAUUUGUAUUAGUAAUUUGGCUUUAUCCAUCAUUGAUAUAUCAAUGUUGCUUUUCUUUAUUCUGAUGUGCAUCAGCUCUUAUUCUGCAUUUUGUACUUUUAUGUCUGAACCUUCUUUUAGAUGGUGAAUUGGCAAUAGCUUGCUUCAAUGCCCACACAAACAACAAAAAGAAAAAGAACAGAAGGA
RNAcentral lists this unclassified non-coding RNA (870 nucleotides) under Hevea brasiliensis (rubber tree). The record is from RNAcentral. Lineage: Eukaryota; Viridiplantae; Streptophyta; Magnoliopsida; Malpighiales; Euphorbiaceae.